Long non-coding RNA from Herpailurus yagouaroundi (jaguarundi), 1045 nucleotides. RefSeq lists it as uncharacterized. The transcript has 6 exons. Lineage: Eukaryota; Metazoa; Chordata; Mammalia; Carnivora; Felidae. The record is from RefSeq and is a predicted model, not a curated record.
GGCAUCUUCUCAUCCCCACCAUCACAAGAAUGCUGUCUAGGAAGAAGCUGGAACAGACCUGGCUUAAAAGCAGACUAGGCAUGGAACAGCAAAUCAGCAGUUCAAGCUGAGGAGAAAAGAACAAAGAGCAGAGGGAUCUAACUGAGGAUACCACAUUGCAUUUGGUUACCAUGUUUCCGGAGUCUUCUCCAGUCUGGCAGAAUCAAACUACAGCCAACUUAUGGUGAGGAGCUCUUCAAACCAUUACUGAAAUUGCCAUUAAGAUACACCUGCUGCACAAGGCAGAAGAAUUAUUUUCACAUCAGCUGCUUUAUCCUGGCUACAUGGACAGAACCAACACAUUGAAGACCAAGUUUAAUUCAUUCAUCCCCAAGAGGAACAUAAAGACUAUCUGUUGUGAUACUAAAUUCAAAAGUAUACUCCAAUCAAAAAUAGUUUUGCUUUAUCUUUUAUGCAUACAUACAACACCAUAAUAUAUAUUCAGCAAAGAUGUAUUACUGUUUCUGUCGUAUCCAAGGAUAUAAAACACAUAGCUAUUCCAGUGAUGGCGCCUUUCAGUUCUUUCUGUAAAGCUUGUUUGUACAUGUAUGUUUUCAUGGACAGACUGCAAGUUAAAAAGCUUAUAUUCUGUCAUUUUCAGUGUCAAAUGCAUCCAAUAUCAAACAUAUCAAGGCUGAUCACAUCAUUAUAAAUUGCUGAUAAGGCUUCUUGUUACCCUUCUAUCACCACUGUCACAAAUUACCACAAACUUAGUGGCUUAUAACAUCCAUUUAUUAUCUCCCAGUUUCAUGCUGAGAUGUCUAAGCACAAGGAGACUCAGUCAGAUCCACUGUGCAGAGCUUCACAAGGUCUAAAUCAAAAUGCUGGCUGAGCUGGCCUCUUAUCUAGAAGCUCUGGGGAAGACUCUGCUUCCAUAGACCAUCAGGUCGUUGGAAGAAUUCAGUUCCUUGUCAUUUUAAUUCAUUUUUAAACGAACUAGAGCAUGUUGAAUCCCUGUUCUUAAAAUCUCUGACGUCGUCUUCUGCUACCAGCCAGAGAAAAAUCU